Molecule: ribosomal RNA, 392 nt
Filed under: uncultured bacterium
Lineage: Bacteria
Description: partial 16S ribosomal RNA
Rfam family: Bacterial small subunit ribosomal RNA
Source: RNAcentral
AUACGGAGGAUCCGAGCGUUAUCCGGAUUUAUUGGGUUUAAAGGGUGCGCAGGCGGCCAUUUAAGUCAGCGGUUAAAUCGUGGGGCUCAACCCCAUUCUGCCGUUGAUACUGGGUGGCUUGAUUGCGGUCGAGGUUGGCGGAAUUCGUUGUGUAGCGGGGAAAUGCAUAGAUAUGACGAAGAACACCGAUAGCGUAGGCAGCUGACCAGACCGCAAAUGACGCUCAUGCACGAAAGUGCGGGGAUCGAACAGGAUUAGAUACCCUGGUAGUCCGCACAGUAAACGAUGAAUACUUGUUUUCGGCGAUAUAAUGUCGGAGGCAAAGCGAAAGCGAUAAGUAUUCCACCUGGGGAGUACGCCGGCAACGGUGAAACUCAAAGGAAUUGACGGGG